This 373-nucleotide long non-coding RNA is filed under the name Zea mays. Its description in RNAcentral is "long non-coding RNA (ZMAY_LNC000228)". The record is from RNAcentral. Lineage: Eukaryota; Viridiplantae; Streptophyta; Magnoliopsida; Poales; Poaceae.
AGCAGCAGCAGUAUAUCAAGUUAGCAUAACAAAAUAAAGCCAAUCUGCGAAAGAACUGUCGGUUAAUCAUAGGAAGAAACAAGAAGAAGAAGAGAAGGGGACGACGAGUACUAACCUGCCGCUGCUGCCUCUGCCUGCCUGCCGGUGGAACUGACGAACUCUACUCUAGACGGACCGAGGAAGAUGAGACCAGAGUGGCAGAUACGCCUUCGCCCUUGCCUCGCCUGAACUCGAAACGUUCGGUCGGCGGCGGCGUCAAGUCGAUGCAAGCAGGAGCAGGAGCAGGACUACGGGAGGUGAAACAGGAAAGCAGGGCCGCAGGGGACAGUGGCCAGUGGUGGUGCUGUGAAGACAAGGCGACAUGGCAUUGGGA